GACAGAGGGGGCAAGCGUUGCUCGGAAUUACUGGGCGUAAAGGGCGCGUAGGCGGGAUGGCAAGUCGGUCGUGAAAUCCUUCGGCUCAACCGAAGAACGUCGAUCGAUACUGCUGUUCUUGAGGGUUGCAGAGGAGACUGGAAUUCCCGGUGUAGCGGUGAAAUGCGCAGAUAUCGGGAAGAACACCCGUGGCGAAGGCGGUUCUCUGGGACGGUACUGACGCUGAGACGCGAAAGCGUGGGGAGCGAACAGG
Molecule: ribosomal RNA, 253 nt
Filed under: uncultured bacterium
Lineage: Bacteria
Description: partial 16S ribosomal RNA
Rfam family: Bacterial small subunit ribosomal RNA
Source: RNAcentral